Molecule: ribosomal RNA, 497 nt
Filed under: uncultured bacterium
Lineage: Bacteria
Description: partial 16S ribosomal RNA
Rfam family: Bacterial small subunit ribosomal RNA
Source: RNAcentral
GACGAACGCUGGCGGCGUGCCUAAUACAUGCAAGUCGAGCGAACGGACGAGAAGCUUGCUUCUCUGAUGUUAGCCGCGGACGUGUGAGUAACACGUGUAUAACCCACUUAUAAGUGUGGUAAAACUUCGGGAAUCCGGCGCUAAUACCGUAUAAUAUUUUGAACCGUAUGGGUGAAAAGUGAAAUUCGGCCUUGCUGUCACUUAUAGCUGGAUCCGCGCUGGAUUAGCUAGUUGUGAGGGUUACAGCUUAUUAAGGCAACUAUGCGUAGCCGACGGGAGAGGGUGGUCGGCCACAUUAGAGGUGAGCCAGGGACAUGGCGACUGAGGGACGCAGCAGUAGGGAAUCGUACGCAAUGGGCGAAAGUAUGACGGAAUGAGGCGGCGUGAGAGAUGAAGGUCUUCGGUUCGUGAAGCUCUGUUAUUGGUGAAGAACAUAUGUGUAAGGAACUGAGCAGUUCUUGACGGUAACUGGUCAGAAAGCAACGGCUAACUACGUG